RNAcentral lists this non-coding RNA (24 nucleotides) under Arabidopsis thaliana (thale cress). Lineage: Eukaryota; Viridiplantae; Streptophyta; Magnoliopsida; Brassicales; Brassicaceae. The record is from RNAcentral.
CGCAUGCCCUCAACAUGUCCUCGA